ACGAACGCUGGCGGCAUGCCUAACACAUGCAAGUCGCACGAGACCUUCGGGUCUAGUGGCGCACGGGUGCGUAACGCGUGGGAACCUGCCCUUAGGUUCGGAAUAACUCCCCGAAAGGGGUGCUAAUACCGGAUAAUGUCUUCGGACUAAAGAUUUAUCGCCUUUGGAUGGGCCCGCGUUGGAUUAGCUAGUUGGUAGGGUAAAAGCCUACCAAGGCGACGAUCCAUAGCUGGUCUGAGAGGAUGAUCAGCCACACUGGGACUGAGACACGGCCCAGACUCCUACGGGAGGCAGCAGUGGGGAAUAUUGGACAAUGGGCGAAAGCCUGAUCCGGCAAUGCCGCGUGAGUGAUGAAGGCCUUAGGGUUGUAAAGCUCUUUUACCCGGGAUGAUAAUGACAGUACCGGGAGAAUAAGCUCCGGCUAACUCCGUG
RNAcentral lists this ribosomal RNA (432 nucleotides) under uncultured bacterium. RNAcentral describes it as "partial 16S ribosomal RNA". It matches the Rfam family "Bacterial small subunit ribosomal RNA", at positions 29 to 507 of the family's 1533-position model. The record is from RNAcentral.